This 254-nucleotide ribosomal RNA is filed under the name uncultured bacterium. RNAcentral describes it as "partial 16S ribosomal RNA". It matches the Rfam family "Bacterial small subunit ribosomal RNA", at positions 524 to 776 of the family's 1533-position model. The record is from RNAcentral.
UACAGAGGUCCCAAGCGUUGUUCGGAUUCCUUGGGCGUAAAGUGUGCGUAGGCGGCGCGGUAAGUCGGGUGUGAAAUCUCGGGGCUUAACUCCGAAACUGCAUUCGAUACUGCCGUGCUUGAGGACUGGAGAGGAGACUGGAAUUUACGGUGUAGCGGUGAAAUGCGUAGAUAUCGAGAGGAACACCUGCGGCGAAGGCGGGUUGCUGGGCUGACACCGACGCUGAUUGUGCGAAAGCUAGGGGAGCGAACGGG